UUCUCCACUCCCACUGCUUCACUUGAC
Molecule: non-coding RNA, 27 nt
Filed under: Callithrix jacchus (white-tufted-ear marmoset)
Lineage: Eukaryota; Metazoa; Chordata; Mammalia; Primates; Cebidae
Also listed under: 2 other names
Source: RNAcentral